GUAGCUCAGCUGGUUAGAGCACAGCAUUCAUAAUGCUGGGGUCGGUGGUUCAAGUCCACCC
Molecule: transfer RNA, 61 nt
Filed under: Gammaproteobacteria bacterium
Lineage: Bacteria; Pseudomonadati; Pseudomonadota; Gammaproteobacteria
Description: tRNA-Met
Rfam family: tRNA
About the family: Transfer RNA (tRNA) molecules are approximately 80 nucleotides in length.
Source: RNAcentral